Molecule: small RNA, 742 nt
Filed under: uncultured bacterium
Lineage: Bacteria
Description: bacterial SSU rRNA
Rfam family: Bacterial small subunit ribosomal RNA (bases 152-742)
Source: RNAcentral
GAUCAGCCGUACUCCGAAUGACUUAGAUUAAGUUUGAUCAUGGCUCAGGCAGAGUUGNUAACCUGGCUCAGGCUGGAUCACCUCCUUAGAGUUUGAUCAUGGCUCAGGUUGGAUCACCUCCUUAGAGUUUGAUCAUGGCUCAGAGUUUGAUCAUGGCUAGAGUUUGAUCAUGGCUCAGAGUGAACGCUGGCGGUAGGCCUAACACAUGCAAGUCGAACGGCAGCACAGAGGAGCUUGCUCCUUGGGUGGCGAGUGGCGGACGGGUGAGGAAUACAUCGGAAUCUACUCUGUCGUGGGGGAUAACGUAGGGAAACUUACGCUAAUACCGCAUACGACCUACGGGUGAAAGCAGGGGAUCUUCGGACCUUGCGCGAUUGAAUGAGCCGAUGUCGGAUUAGCUAGUUGGCGGGGUAAAGGCCCACCAAGGCGACGAUCCGUAGCUGGUCUGAGAGGAUGAUCAGCCACACUGGAACUGAGACACGGUCCAGACUCCUACGGGAGGCAGCAGUGGGGAAUAUUGGACAAUGGGCGCAAGCCUGAUCCAGCCAUACCGCGUGGGUGAAGAAGGCCUUCGGGUCGUAAAGCCCUUUUGUUGGGGAAAGAAAUCAGCUGGCUAAUACCCGGUUGGGCAUUGACCGUAACCAAAAGAAUAAGCACCCGGCUUAACUUCGUGCCAGCAGCCCGCCGUAAUAACGAAGGGGUUGCCAAGGCGGUUCCUCCGGAAUUACUUGGGGCGUAAGGC